CUGCACGCAGAUGGCAGCGUUGCCAUAUGCGACAACAGCAAGGGCAGCAACAGUUGCUGCCCUUUUUUGUUUUUGCGUCAACGAUUUUGACAUCAAAAUUCUUCCUAAACACAACACAUGCAGUUCAAAACUAAUCAUUCGCAUGAACAACCAGGCUCUGAUACCACUGUUGGGAAAUUUGGGGGCGACAUCACAUGUGCAGCGGAAGAAAAGAAAACAAAAUCCCCUAUUCCCAAAGAGAUGUUCGUCGUCAUGCAAAGAUUGAUGCGCAAAAUCCGUGAAACUUAAAACUGCGUAUAGAGUAGAUUGUGUUACCUAGGGAGAUCAUAUAUCUCUGUUUCCUUGCAGAUCUUUAGGAGAGGGUGAAGGAGGUCAAGCGUCCUCCUCUCUAGCGGUGAUCUACACAGCAGGGCUGCGACGACGCUCCUCAAAACUCCAGGCCUACUCUGAGGUGGAGAGAGAGAGGAGAAUAGGAGAGAUAAGCAAAGGCUCUAGCCUAUAAGGCUCUAAAUCUCUCCUAUUUAUAGAGGCCCCCUAUUAAAAUCUUAUGGAUCCUCCCCUAGUGGGUAUUGGAUCUGUAUCCAAUUACCCAAGCCUUUUAAAUUAGUAGAUCUCUAUCCAAUAAUCUCUCAUGGGCUCUUAUUGGAUCUCGUCCAUGGGAUCCAAUAAUUCAAGGGCUUAUUGGAUAUCUAAUAAGAUAGGG
This 703-nucleotide long non-coding RNA is filed under the name Musa acuminata (dwarf banana). RNAcentral describes it as "long non-coding RNA (MACU_LNC010741)". Lineage: Eukaryota; Viridiplantae; Streptophyta; Magnoliopsida; Zingiberales; Musaceae. The record is from RNAcentral.